GCAUCGGCUGUGGCCAGCUGAGUGAGGACCUCCUCCAACUCGGGCCCAUCCUCUGGGAAGCGCUCGGAGAAGGAUCGGAUGAGGCCAGCAGCAGAGGCCUCAUACUCGAGAAGCUGUACUUCUGAGUCUGGAGAGGAGAAGGAAAAAAAACAUCAGCAGGUCUUAUUCCUAAUGGACUGUGAACUACUUGAGGCAAGGGCCUGGGUCUGAUUCAUCUCUCCAUCCCCAAGAGCCACAACGGGCUGGACAAUCAAAAUGGUAGGUUCCAUGCCCAGUGUGGGGCUUGAACUCAUGGCUGUGACAUCAAGAGUUGUAUGGUCUACUGAUGGAGCCAGCCAGGCGUCCCAAGGAUUUCCUGUCUGAGGCAAUAAUCUUUGAUUCUGGGCUUAUUAUUCCCUUAUGUUCCCUGAAUUCUGCUCUCGACCAGGUUAUUUUAACUUUUGCUCGUGUCCUGUGAUUUGCUUUUUCUGCUUGAGUUAUGUGUGAGAUUCAUCUGUGUUCGUGCAUGCAGUUCACCCUUCUCACUGCUGUCCACUAUUCCACUCAUAAACACCACAGGUGAAUCUCUUCCCAUGUGAAUGGGCAACUUGUGCUGUCUAGCUCUCAGCACCCUGUGGACACCUUGGGCACCUCCUGAUGAACAGAAUGAACAGGUGCAGGUUUCUCUGGGAGAGUCAGUGGUCUAGAGGUCAAGGGAACGCUCCACCUUAGACGAGCCCACAUUGUUCUCCAAAGUUGCUGUACCAGGUGUUGCUCCCAGAAGCAGUGGCUGUCAGUCCUGCCUGCUCUGUAUACCAGGCUGGUGUUGGCAGCUUCUCAUUUUUGCCAAGCUGGUGGGUAUAAAGCUCAUGUGAUUUAAACUGUGCUUUUCUGAUUGCCCAAGAGGUUGAAUAUCUUCCCGCAAGUUGAUGUGUUAUUCAUUUUCUUCUU
Long non-coding RNA from Canis lupus familiaris (dog), 930 nucleotides. RefSeq lists it as uncharacterized. The record is from RefSeq and is a predicted model, not a curated record. The transcript has 3 exons. NCBI's taxonomy places the organism in Eukaryota, Metazoa, Chordata, Mammalia, Carnivora, Canidae.